GUUUUACAGUCGCAACAGCAGCAACGAAAGUGUGUAACCAUGGUAACUUAGCGGCAUUGUGGGUAGUUUGGUCAACGGAUUGUUGUUAUGUAGCAGCGUCAUCUUUUGAGUCUGCUGCUGGUUAAUGCCAUGGAUGUAUAAAGAGAAAGAGGUUAAUGCGGCAAUAAAUCUCCAUUUGCAACUUAUUUAGAUGAACAGAGUAACUGCAUAAAUGGCUCCUAAAAGAAAAUUUGGGAGUGGCACUCAAGGGCGAAAGAAGAGAAAAUUGGAGAUGGAAAAAUAACACAGACCAAGUGAAAGUGAGCCCUGACUGACGUUUGCUUUGUCUUUCAAGGCGUGGUCCCCUGAUCCCAGUCCUGACAAAGACCUGCCAAAGAGCUACUUCUGUUCCCCCAGGCUGACAAGCCAAUCCAUCUUUGCCUGCAGAGUAACUUUACUACGUUUGUCAUCAUACCGCCCUCUAUCAA
This is a long non-coding RNA of Thunnus maccoyii (southern bluefin tuna), 467 nucleotides long. RefSeq lists it as uncharacterized. The record is from RefSeq and is a predicted model, not a curated record. Lineage: Eukaryota; Metazoa; Chordata; Actinopteri; Scombriformes; Scombridae. The transcript is spliced from 3 exons.